Schistocerca serialis cubense is the source of this 517-nucleotide long non-coding RNA. RefSeq lists it as uncharacterized. The transcript has 4 exons. NCBI's taxonomy places the organism in Eukaryota, Metazoa, Arthropoda, Insecta, Orthoptera, Acrididae. The record is from RefSeq and is a predicted model, not a curated record.
UGAUGCAUCGGUCUGUUGAUACUGUUGCAGAUUGUCUCCAGAAUUGGAAGAUUGAUCCUGUUGUGAAUCCUGACUGAUUUGUUCAUUAUCAGAAUUUUGUUCUUGCUGCGUCUGCUGUAGGUCUCCGUUUGAUGCAUCGUUCUGUUGAUACUGUUGCAGAUUGUCUCCAGAUUCGGAAGAUUGAUCCUGCUGUGAAUGCUGACUGAUUUGUUCAUUAUCAGAAUUUUGUUCUUGCUGCGUCUGCUGUAGGUCUCCAUUUGAUGUAUCGUUCUGUUGAUACUGUUGCAAAUCGUCUCCAGAAUCGGAAGAUUGAUCUUGCUGUGUAUGCUGACUGAGUUGUUCAGAAUCAGAAUCUAAUUCUUGCUGUAUCUGUUGUAGGUCUCCGUUUGAUGCAUCGGUCUGUUGAUACUGUUGCAGAUUGUCUCCAGAAUCGGAAGAUUGAUCCUGCUGUGAAUGUUGACUGAUUUGUUCAUUAUCAGAAUCUAAUUCUUGCUGUGUCUGUUGAAGGUCUUGGUUU